Molecule: ribosomal RNA, 421 nt
Filed under: Scheffersomyces coipomensis
Lineage: Eukaryota; Fungi; Ascomycota; Pichiomycetes; Serinales; Debaryomycetaceae
Description: eukaryotic LSU rRNA
Rfam family: Eukaryotic large subunit ribosomal RNA
Source: RNAcentral
CUGGCGCCUUCGGUGUCCGAGUUGUAAUUUGAAGAAGGUAACUUUGGUUUUGGCUCUUGUCUAUGUUCCUUGGAACAGGACGUCACAGAGGGUGAGAAUCCCGUGCGAUGAGAUGCCCAAUUCCAUGUAAAGUGCUUUCGAAGAGUCGAGUUGUUUGGGAAUGCAGCUCUAAGUGGGUGGUAAAUUCCAUCUAAAGCUAAAUAUUGGCGAGAGACCGAUAGCGAACAAGUACAGUGAUGGAAAGAUGAAAAGAACUUUGAAAAGAGAGUGAAAAAGUACGUGAAAUUGUUGAAAGGGAAGGGUUUGAGAUCAGACUUGGUAUUUUGUAUGUUUUACUCUCGGGUGAGGCCUCUGCAGUUUACUGGGCCAGCAUCAGUUUGGAUGGUAGGAUAAUGACAUUGGAAUGUGGCUCUUCGGAGUG